AAAUGGGACACCCUGUAUAUAUAUAAUGUAAUGUAAUGCACUUUUAUCUACUGUACAUAGUAUCUCUAAUCGCUUGCCUGUGAAGAAAAAGAAAAGAUAUAACUUCGAAAAAUAUACUCACGGCCCUGCAUCGUGACUCUUACGUAAGAACGAUAUCGCUGAUAUCACACAAUGUGUCAACAGUGACCGGCAAUAAUUAUAAUAACGACUCGCAUGUCUGGACAGUGAUGGCCGAAUUCGUUUAUGGCAGUACGGCACCAUGGAAAGUUACAAUAACCCGUUCAGGAUAUUGAGGACAAUGAAUGGAACCGUUGACAACUCCUUGCGGAAGAGCAAGGUUUUAUUUGUAGCAAUGUCAUCUAAUGAAACUACCGAGAAAAAUUAUUAGACAAUGAGUAAAUAUUCUGUUCGUCGCAAAGAGAUUUUGUAUAUUGCACUUAUUGUAUCAGUUGCAACUGUAUGUUUAAACAAUGUGUCUAAUUUUUUACAAUAUUAAUUUCUGAAAAAUUUUGCUUUGAAAUAUAUAAGAUAUGGCAAGUAUAGCAUAUUCCAAUAUUUGCUAGUAGUUGAGUUUUGUAGUCGUAACGUUUAACGUAAAAUUAGAAUUUAAUUGUCGUUGAACAACUAGGCUAUUUAUGGCUCGUACUAGCGAUAAGAUCGGAUAUCGAUUUCCUGAGUUUCAAUACGACAUUCAUUGCAGAAACGAGGAAAAUAUUGAUCUGAAAAUCAUACACGUACCAUAUGUAAUAUUAUCUCCCAUUAGUGUUUCUAGGAAGACUGGUUUCAUCAUUCACAGAAGCAAGCUAGAAUUAGACUAGAACUAAAACUGAACGAGUUGCAACAAAACACGUUAUACUAGAAGAACGUAUAUAAAAAAAUAUACAAAAUAAUGUGAGAGAGUAUAACGAAAUUUUAAUUUUUUAUUAAAACCGCUUUGAUGAAGCGAAAUUAUUUGAGACUUGAUUAUGAAGAAGAUCGGUAAUCAAACAGCGAAACAAGUGAUUUUCCUAAAGAAAGAUCGUUUCUGAUGAAAAGUUUCAGUUAACAUUAGAUUAAAAGGUAUUUGCUUAAUUGAUAUGAUUCAUCAUCAUAUUAUCGUAAUUAUUUCAUAAACGUGACGUAUAAUCGAUGUGUAAAAGACGUAUUUCGAUUCGUGUUAAACAUCAUCACGGUGCGUGAGAUUUUCGAAUACAGAUUAAGACGUGCCUUAUCCAUAUUUUCUACAUAACGUGAGUUGUGAGAACGGACCGGACAAAAAUCUCCGUAUGUACCUAUAUAUGGGCUUGGCCCGGACCUUGAAAUCUUUCGCAGUGUCCAAUAGCCGCAAUUGGCCAGACCAAGGGUCGAGCGAACAUCAAACGCCACCGUGGGAAUAUGUACAUUUACAGGGGAUAUUAGUAUGAUUAAAUCAUAUGGCGUUAUUACUCGUUUCCUGUGGCAAGUUUUGCGACACAUUAUGUGACUCUGCACUUUAAAGGCUGCAUCGUGAGAUGCAUUUAAUUAAUAUCUCAAGUGUCUAAUUAAGUGUAAUCAAGUGUGUUUAAUUAAUAUCUCAAGUUUCAAGUGUCAUCUCAUCAUUGUUCAUUUUAUUCUCUUGCAUUUAUGAGGAGAAGGCGAAAGAAUGUACACAAAACGCGUUUAUCUUAUACGUGUCUUUAAAGUAUAUUUCGUAAGAAAACAUGAUAAUUUUAUAAUAUUCGCGUGUUGCCAUUCUUAUUGCAAGAUUUUAACACAAUUUCAGAUUUCGGAUUGAAUCACGUACACUUAAGUUGU
Long non-coding RNA from Ooceraea biroi (clonal raider ant), 1773 nucleotides. RefSeq lists it as uncharacterized. Lineage: Eukaryota; Metazoa; Arthropoda; Insecta; Hymenoptera; Formicidae. The record is from RefSeq and is a predicted model, not a curated record.